AAAAAAGGCAAACCUAGGUUUCCGUGUCCAACUUUAACUGUUCGUCUUAUAUGAAAUUUUUUUAUAAUUCGUAUUUUUAUUGUUGUUAGAUGAUAAAACAUGAUUAAUAUUUUAUGCGUGACUUGUCUUUUUAAUUUUUUUAUAAUUUUUUUAAAUAAGACGGACGGUCAAAUAUUGGGCACAGAAAUCAGGGUUUGUCUUUUU
Oryza barthii is the source of this 204-nucleotide non-coding RNA. The record is from Rfam. Lineage: Eukaryota; Viridiplantae; Streptophyta; Magnoliopsida; Poales; Poaceae.